ACGUAGGGCGCAAGCGUUGUCCGGAAUUAUUGGGCGUAAAGAGCUCGUAGGCGGUUUGUCGCGUCUGCUGUGAAAGCCCGGGGCUCAACCCCGGGUCUGCAGUGGGUACGGGCAGACUAGAGUGCAGUAGGGGAGACUGGAAUUCCUGGUGUAGCGGUGAAAUGCGCAGAUAUCAGGAGGAACACCGAUGGCGAAGGCAGGUCGUCUGGGUCUGAUUAACUGCGCUGAGGAGCGAAAGACAUGGGGAGCGAAACAGGAUUAGAUACCCCGGUGUCAGUCC
Molecule: ribosomal RNA, 280 nt
Filed under: uncultured bacterium
Lineage: Bacteria
Description: partial 16S ribosomal RNA
Rfam family: Bacterial small subunit ribosomal RNA
Source: RNAcentral